CGGGACGUAGUUCAGCCAGGUAGAACGCUGGUCUGGGGGAUCAGAGGCCCGCAGGUUCGAAUCCUGUCGUCCCGAC
RNAcentral lists this transfer RNA (76 nucleotides) under Actinoplanes siamensis. Its description in RNAcentral is "tRNA-Pro". It matches the Rfam family "tRNA". Rfam says of the family: Transfer RNA (tRNA) molecules are approximately 80 nucleotides in length. Their secondary structure includes four short double-helical elements and three loops (D, anti-codon, and T loops). Further hydrogen bonds mediate the characteristic L-shaped molecular structure. tRNAs have two regions of fundamental functional importance: the anti-codon, which is responsible for specific mRNA codon recognition, and the 3' end, to which the tRNAs corresponding amino acid is attached (by aminoacyl-tRNA synthetases). tRNAs cope with the degeneracy of the genetic code in two manners: having more than one tRNA (with a specific anti-codon) for a particular amino acid; and 'wobble' base-pairing, i.e. permitting non-standard base-pairing at the 3rd anti-codon position. The record is from RNAcentral. Lineage: Bacteria; Bacillati; Actinomycetota; Actinomycetes; Micromonosporales; Micromonosporaceae.